CAGCGACGCUAAACUGGAACAUGCGUAUCGCAGUGGUACAGAGGAAGCUAGCAAUGUGGAAGGCUAGGUAUUUGUCUUUUAUGGGCAAAGUCCUGGUCCUAAAGGUGGAUGUGUUGCCGUCUCUUUUGUAUUUGGCGUACAUCUACCCAUUGCCGGCUUGUCUGAGGAGGCCUCUAGUGAGGCUUGUGUUUCAGUUCAUGUGGAGUGGCAGGUGCGAGUGGGUCGCCAGGGCACGCAUGCUCUGUCCCAUCGGGGAGGGAGGUAGGGGGGUACCACAUUUCCCCCUCAAGCUGGACACAAUUUUUGUUUCUUUCUUGUUAACGGAGCUUGCUCAUCCAGUGAUACACCCGUCCGGUUACCUCCUGCAGGUGUUCUUCUCGUAUCAGGCGAGAAGCGUAAUCGUGUGGUCCAACACGGGUCCUCGGGCGGAACAGCUGCCGUGGCACUUUGGUCAUGCGGCCAAGUGGCUGCGUGCGCACCCUGAGGUUGAAGUUGCCCGAGUAGGUUUAGAUCACAGGCACCUGUACGAGGAGGUCAGAGAGGCAGGGAGUCCGGCGCCUGUAGUGGGCAUCUCGGAAGUGGUCUGGGAGGGAGUGCAGGCGCGGGGUCUGGACAACAGGCUCAAGGGCCUGAAUUGUUUGAGCCUCCAUAAGUGCUUGCCGGUACGUUCCAUCAUGUACCGGUAUAGUUUGGUGCAAUCCCCCACCUGUCAGGGAGGAGACUGUGCACCAUGUCUUUUGGGACUGUGCCUUUACCGGAUUAGUAUGGGCUAGGGCACGGGUGUUGUUAGGUUUGGUAAGGGGGGAUUUUGUAUUGACGUGGGCCAGGUUAGAGAGAGGUGUAGGGAGAGCGAGAGGGAUGGAUAGGGACAGGUUUCUGCUCUGGCUUCUCAUGAGUCUCUUUAAACGGGGGCUGUGGGAAGCCAGGCAGAACAUGGUGAAGACAGGGAGAGAUUGGGGGGUGGAAGGGAUAGUGAGGAGGGUGGAAGGAGAUUUGAGGGGG
Molecule: long non-coding RNA, 1002 nt
Filed under: Oncorhynchus kisutch (coho salmon)
Lineage: Eukaryota; Metazoa; Chordata; Actinopteri; Salmoniformes; Salmonidae
Description: lncRNA (ENSOKIG00005030499.1)
Source: RNAcentral